RNAcentral lists this non-coding RNA (28 nucleotides) under Mus musculus (house mouse). The record is from RNAcentral. Lineage: Eukaryota; Metazoa; Chordata; Mammalia; Rodentia; Muridae.
GAAGCUGUGAUUCAACUGGUAGAGGAAC